Molecule: long non-coding RNA, 5284 nt
Filed under: Eutrema salsugineum
Lineage: Eukaryota; Viridiplantae; Streptophyta; Magnoliopsida; Brassicales; Brassicaceae
Description: long non-coding RNA (ESAL_LNC000835)
Source: RNAcentral
UCAACAAAACAGUGAAUUAGUUUUGGGUUUGUUUAUGAGUCAUAAGACACCAUCAAAUUACACAAAUCUUUCAGGUCCUAUAAACUACGAUAGUUUUUCAAAAGUGUGGAAACAAAAUUGCGCUGAGAUGAAAGAUUACAUAAUAAUAUAUGUUCUGUAAAAUCUUACAACAUUUUAGUCAUGUUCUUUAAUGUAGAACAUUUCAGGUCCUAUAAAAUCGGAUAAUAUUACUAGAAUGUGAACCCCAAAAUUACUCUGAGAUUGAAGAUUGUAAAAAUAUGUUCUAUAAAAUCUUACAACGGUCUAUUCAUUCUAGUUAAUCUUUAAUGCAUAAAUUAAGAACCCUACAACAUUUCGGAUCCUAUUAAAUUUCAUAAAUUUUCAAGUAAAUUCGGCUCAUAUAUAAACAAAUUAUUGAAAAACUCUCAUUCUGAAUUAUUCCUUAAAUCCAUUCAAAUGUCUAAUCUUCAAAACCACUUCACAGGAACCCACGAAACUCUUCAUAAUUCGAAAAAGAAGACAGAAACUCACAAGUAAAGCUUCCCUUUCCGGCCAGCCAUAGUGAUAAACGACGAUGAAGAGAGAGACGAAGUACUUGAAGAUUUCUUGCACGAGCCAGAUAUUAAUAUUUGCUCUAAGAAAAAAACAAAAAUAGCCUGAAGAAAAAUGGCCAAGUCCACUCGUAGCCUUUAUAUUACUUCAAAAACCCCUAAUUAGUGCGAGUCGUGCGACUAAACUAAUGGAACCAUCAGCCAAAAUUACGUACGUUAAGGCUGAUGUAGCGGGUAAUAUGAGUAAAUAUACAAGUAAAGAGGGUAACUUUGUUAAUUUUCCUUACUCAAAACGGCUAAAUCUUGUAGGCGAAGAAAGUUUCCAAAUGAUAUGAUAGUAAGUAAAUUAAAUUUAAAUAUGGAUAUGCGUUUUAGAGAUCUAGAUUAAAUAUUCGAUUGGGGUUAGUUACUAUACUUUAGACCUCACAUAUUCUCAGUAUGUUGAUGCACAUUGUAAGCAUAUCAAUUUUAUAAAUAUAUUUCCUUGCACAAUAUAUCUUUCCAGAAAAAAAAAUAUUCACCUGGUUCAGAUUAGCCUGGUUUGACUUUUACAUGGAGAUUGGUCUACAUUAUUCACAAACUAUGGCAUCAUCUUCAAUCAAUGCUUUCGAUGGAUCACUUGAUGAAGUCUUGGAUCAAAAAUUCUACAAUAUGUACAAUGAUAUUCUUGAUCGUCAUGCAGCAACAAAGCCAAAGAAGAAACAAACAUAUAUUGAAAAAGAACGCGAACAAAGCCACAACCGCUUAUGGAAUGACUAUUUCAGUGAAAAUGCAAUAUGUGUACUAUUAAAAAAGAAGAAGAUGCAAUAUGUCCUACCACUUGGAAAAGACAAUAUAAAUGUGGUUCAGGAAAACCGAUAAUCGUCUUAGAAGCUAUAGCAUCACAAGAUCUUUGAAUAUGACACGUGUUUUUUGGACUUCCAGGUACCUUAAACGAUAUCAAUGUUCUUGAUCGCUCACCUGUUUUUGAUGAUAUAUUACAAGGCUGAGCUCUAAAAGUGAAUUAAUUAGUCAACGGACACGAAUAUCAUUUGGCUUACUACCUCACAGACGGUAUUUAUCCGAAAUGGGCAACUUUUAUCCAAUCUAUUCAAAUUCCUUCGGACCUUGAAAUAGAUUGGAUAAAAGUUUCCCAUUUUUGAUAAAUACCGUCUGUGAGGUAGUACGCCAAAUGAUAUUCGUGUCCGUUGACCAAGUAAUUUACUUUUAGAGCUCGACUUUAUAUCAUCAAAAAUAGGUGAGUGAUCAAGAACAUUAAUAUCGUUUAAGGUACCUGGAGAUCCAAAAGAUGCAUGUUAUAGAUUUCAUCAAAACUUUCAUCAAGUGAUCCAUCGAAAGUAUUGUUUGAAGAUGAUACCAUAGUUUAUGAUUUUUUUUGUUUGUUUGAUGGGGAAACAAAAAAAGAGCUGGAGUUUUGUAGAGAAAUUAAAGAAGAUAAGAGUUGGAGUUUUUGGAUAGAGAUAUAAAAGAGAAGAAGAGUUUGAGUUUUUUUCUUGAGAAAUAUAAGAACACUUUCUAAACACAUAUAUAUAGGAAAAAAAUGAUCGAUAUCUUUACAACACAUGUGGUUUACAAUACUCACAAUAAAUUUUGUGGUUUACAAUCCUCAAAAAAUUUGUGUUUUACAAUUCUACAAAACAACAAAAGUAGACCCUCCACAAAAAAAGCUAUACCCGUGACCUCCAAAACAAAAACAAAACAAAACAAAACCAACAUGGAACCAAAAACAAAACGUGUGAUCUAUAUUGUUCUGUGUAUUCUAUCUUUGGCCUUCACCUCUUUUUGUGCCUCCAUCUGGUCCUUGAUUAGCUAAUACAAAAAGAAAACAAAAUCCAUAUCAAAAAUAUGACAGAUUGGUAACACUAGUAGUCUAGUACUAACCAGUAACCACUAUGGCACUAUCCACUAUGCUAUGAUGUUAUAUUUUUCCAAUGUAUGGUUCAACUUUGGGAGGAUAGAUAUUAUCAUUUUCAGUAUAUAGUAGUGUCUAUCUUUCUACCAUAGAAAUAUAUAUGUAAAAGGGCAUAUGGUGGUCACAUGUCUUCUUUUUUGUCCAUUAAUAGCCAACUGAUAAAUCGAAUGUCAUUCUUUGCAACCAUUGUAAAUUGGAUAAAAGUUUAACUUAUUAAACUCUUACAAAGUUAAGAUCCAAACAUAUAAAUAAUAAUAGAUAAUACAAUUUUUUAAAAAAUAUAAAACAUCUACAGCUGAAAAGAAAACAAAGAAAAUUUUAAUCGUUUGAAGUAAAAUAAAAAGUGUGGAAAAAGUGAAGUGAAUUUGUUUAUCAGAUUUACCAUGCAUUGAUUAAAAAACUAAUAUUAGAAGGAGAAUAGCACAAUCGAUUUCUAUUUACAAUAUAUAUAGAAAAAAAGUACAACGGUCUAAUAAUUACGACAAAUCUUACAUUCCUAUUGUAUUAUACUUCCUUAUCUAUCACUAAGCACCCUUCAUUUGCUUCUUCGCUAAGUGGCUUGUUUCUUGAAUCAGGUCCAACGGUUUAAAUGAACCGUCAAAACAAACCAUUUGCUUGAUCAAUGAGACAAUGAUCUCCAAAAUAGUUGAAUAAAGCUGAAACUAAACCAAUCAAACCCAUAUAUUCUAUAUGCUCUACACAAGUGCAAAAACAUUUGCCAUAAUAUGCUUUGUUUUCACAUAAAGCCAAAGUCAUUCGUCUGUGGCGCCUCAAUCCAAAUGGUCUUAGUAAGACAUAGCUCUUCCACUUCAGACCGCUCAUAUGCGCGGGCAGUAGUACCUCUCUUUAUCAAACGAGGAAUACACAUAACAUCUUCUAUCAAAUGGAACCUUAGAGAAUUGCUCAUUGUUUCUUAUACACAUAACUUCCUCGCAAAGAUUCUCAAGCCUAAAGGUGUAAUGGAAGUUCAGAGAAAGUUGAAUCCUCUGUGUUUGCACUUUGAAAAUCAAGUAGUUAAAUACUUUAACUGAUCCAAAAGAAAGAAAAAAUAGGGAAAGAGAGAGAGAGAGUUAAGUGCUAAGAUAAAUGAGGUGAUCUAAACCUUCGCAUAGCUUCAUAUGUAAAACCUUUAUUAGGUGGCCUAAUCCAAAGGCCGGCCGGCGAGCUCUAACCGGACCUAGUGAAUUUCAUUAGGUCAUGGGCUUACGCAGAUUCGCUGGGGGUGUGGGGGAACCCAUACGGCAGGGUUUCCUAAUGAGCUCAAGUGGGUUUGGAGGUCAAGUUUUUUGAGGAUAUAAAUACCGGAUUUUAUAGAUUGUAAUUAAAUAUAUUCACACCAUUAAUAAUAAAACAUUAAACGGAUUUCUCUCUCUAAGUUAUUCACUUUCUUCUAGUUUGAUUUGAGUUAAUUCACAACAGACAUAGAUCCUCCUGUUCUUGCCACUGCUUACGCGGAUAGUACCUCUCUUCAUCAAACAAAUACGAUACGCAACGCUUGCAAUUGAAACAAAGCCUUGGGAAGUAAACACUAUUCCUCAUCCAUGGGAGAUUAACUCUCAUCUCGGAAGAAUAAAGACUCGUGAAGCCAUCAAGCCAUCAAGCGUAGUGCUAUUGAUCUCCUCCCAAUCAAAGGAGUCAUGAUCUAGUUUAUACACAAUCGGUUUCUCACCUCCGCAUGUAAACAUCUUGAAGAACACUCCUUUCCGCACAGUCAAGUAAAAUCUUUUCUUCUUCCGCUCAUACUGGUAGCUAAAUCUACCUGAGGAAGGACAUGGGGUGAUUUCGUAUAACUAAAACUCCAUUCUAGAGAAGACGGUUCAAAGAAAUAUAAGCUUCCUGUAUUAUCAAGGCAAUAGAAGCGACGGUUUGCAUAGACAACAUUGUUGUUCUUAAGUGAAUCAAAAGAAAGAUAGAAAUGUAAAUACUCAGUAACCCACUCGGUUGCUUCGGGGCGGCAAGUGCUCGUAGUGAUGGUACUCAAGAACGCUAGCAGAACACAAGUACCUGAUGUAGGUGCACAAGAGAAAGCGAUUGCAUCAUAUGAUAACUCAAGCUUUGGUAAGUUUAUGAGCUUCAGAGUAAACGGAUUGAAGAAAAUAUGGCGUGAAGUGGUUUUGCGCAUAAGUAACCAUGCGUCCCUUGAGUAACACACUGUGGAUUUGGCUAGCUCGGGUAGAUCCAGUGUGUACAUCUUCUGUUGCAAAGGAUCGUAGAGUUCGAACAAGUUGCCACGUUUAGGUAAGUACAUAAGCCAAGGAGGCUUGUCUACCAAGCGGAUAUAGAGACCUGCUUCACGCCAUGUUUUGCAGACAGCGGAGGCUCGAAUGUUAUCUUUUAAGAGAAGUUGAGAUAUUAUUACUUCCAAGUGGCAUAGUGGAAGGUCAGAAAAACUUGGCUUUUCUGCUUCUGUGCUCUGUUUCUUGCUCUUGAAGAAACCGUUUCCUGCAGCAUCUACGUUUGGCCUGUGAAAGAGUUUGGGUCAACAAAACAGUGAAUUAGUUUUGGGUUUGGUUAUGAGUCAUAAGACAUCAUCAAAUUACACAAAUCUUUCAGGUCCUAUAAACUACGAUAGUUUUUCAAAAGUGUGAAAACAAAAUUGCGCUGAGAUGAAAGUUUACAUAAUAUGUUCUGUAAAAUCUUACAACAUUUUAGUCAUGUUCUUUAAUGUAGAACAUUUCAGGUCCUAUAAAAUCGGAUAAUAUUACUAGAAUGUGAACCCCAAAAUUACUCUGAGAUUGAAGAUUGUAAAAAUAUGUUCUAUAAAAUCUUACAACGGUCUAUUCAUUCUAGUUAAUCUUUAAUGCAUAAAUUAAGAACCCUA